Molecule: ribosomal RNA, 1002 nt
Filed under: uncultured Actinomyces sp.
Lineage: Bacteria; Bacillati; Actinomycetota; Actinomycetes; Actinomycetales; Actinomycetaceae
Description: bacterial SSU rRNA
Rfam family: Bacterial small subunit ribosomal RNA (bases 1-785)
Source: RNAcentral
GAUGAACGCUGGCUGUGUGCCUAAUACAUGCAUGUCGAGCGGAAGUAGCAAUACUUUAGCGGCGAAUGGGUGAGUAACACGUGCUUAAUCUACCUCUUAGAUUGGAAUACCUAAUGGAAACAUUGGUUAAUGCCGGAUACGCAUGGAGUCGCAUGACUCCGUUGUGAAAGGGGCCUUUAAAGCUCCACUAAGAGAUGAGGGUGCGGAACAUUAGCUAGUUGGUGAGGUAACGGCCCACCAAGGCUAUGAUGUUUAGCCGGGUCGAGAGACUGAACGGCCACAUUGGGACUGAGAUACGGCCCAAACUCCUACGGGAGGCAGCAGUAGGGAAUAUUCCACAAUGAGCGAAAGCUUGAUGGAGCGACACAGCGUGCACGAUGAAGGUCUUAUGGAUUGUAAAGUGCUGUUGCAAGGGAAGAAAAAGUAGUUGAGGAAAUGCUUCUACAUUGACGGUACCUUGUUAGAAAGCGAUGGCUAACUAUGUGCCAGCAGCCGCGGUAAUACAUAGGUCGCAAGCGUUAUCCGGAAUUAUUGGGGCGUAAAGCGUUCGUAGGCUGUUUAUUAAGUCUGGAGUCAAAUCCCAGGGCUCAACCCUGGCUCGCUUUGGAGACUGGUAAACUAGAGUUGGAUUGGAGUAAGCGGAUUUCCAUGUGAAGCUGGUGAAAUGUGUAGAUAUAUGGAAUGAACACCGUGUCGUUGUCGGUGUGCGUGGUUUAUACUGACGCUGAUGAACGAAAGCGGGGGAGCGAAACGGAUUGAUGCCCUGGUGCGCGAGGGCGAUUGCACAGUGGGUGUGGGUGUGUGUGGUGCGACGGGGCGUGUGUGAUGACAAAAAUAAAUGAGAUUUGUGUCUGUUGUUAUGUUAUAAAGUGAGACUAAAUGAGUGUGUAGGAAUGGUGAUGAGUGCUGUGUGGUGUAUAUUAUGAGUAGCUGUUGUGUGUGCGUGUGAUGUGUGUGUGUUGUUGUGUGCUGUGUGUGUUGCUAUGCCGACUGUGGUGCCUC